RNAcentral lists this ribosomal RNA (824 nucleotides) under uncultured bacterium. RNAcentral's name for it is "bacterial SSU rRNA". It matches the Rfam family "Bacterial small subunit ribosomal RNA", at positions 8 to 835 of the family's 1533-position model. The record is from RNAcentral.
AGAGUUUGAUCCUGGCUCAGGACGAACGCUGGCGGCGUGCCUAACACAUGCAAGUCGAGCGAAGUUUAUUUAGCAGCGACUUCGGUCAAAGCUGAUUAAACUUAGCGGCGAACGGGUGAGUAACACGUAGGCAACCUGCCCAUGACACGGGGAUAGCUUCGGGAAACCGGAGGUAAUACCCGAUACCUUUACUUAUUGCAUGAUAAGUAAAGGAAGCGAAUAGCGGUCAUGGAUGGGCCUGCGUCCCAUUAGCUAGUUGGUGAGAUAACAGCCCACCAAGGCGACGAUGGGUAGCCGACCUGAGAGGGUGACCGGCCACACUGGAACUGAGACACGGUCCAGACUCCUACGGGAGGCAGCAGUGGGGAAUCUUGCGCAAUGGGCGAAAGCCUGACGCAGCGACGCCGCGUGAGCGAAGAAGGCCUUCGGGUCGUAAAGCUCAGUCAUUGGGGAUGAGAUGACAGUACCCAGGGAGGAAGCCCCGGCUAACUACGUGCCAGCAGCCGCGGUAAUACGUAGGGGGCGAGCGUUGUCCGGAAUUACUGGGUGUAAAGGGCGUGUAGGCGGGGGUGCAAGUUACCGGUAAAAACCCAGGGCUCAACUCUGGGCUUGCCGGUAAAACUGCAUCUCUUGAGUGUAGGAGAGGGAAGUGGAAUUCCCGGAGUAGCGGUGAAAUGCGUAGAUACCGGGAGGAACACCAGUGGCGAAGGCGGCUUCCUAGCCUACAACUGACGCUGAGGCGCGAAAGCUAGGGUAGCGAACGGGAUUAGAUACCCCGGUAGUCCUAGCCGUAAACGAUGGUCACUAGGUGUGGGUGGUGGUCA